GACGAACGCUGGCGGCGUGCUUAACACAUGCAAGUCGAGCGGAAAGGCCCUUCGGGGUACUCGAGCGGCGAACGGGUGAGUAACACGUGAGUAACCUGCCCUUGGCUCUGGGAUAGCUCCGGGAAACCGGAAUUAAUACCGGAUAUGACCUCGGCCGACAUCGGCUGUGGUGGAAAGAUUUAUCGGCCAGGGAUGGGCUCGCGGCCUAUCAGCUAGUUGGUGGGGUAACGGCCUACCAAGGCGACGACGGGUAGCCGGCCUGAGAGGGCGACCGGCCACACUGGGACUGAGACACGGCCCAGACUCCUACGGGAGGCAGCAGUGGGGAAGUAUUGCGCAAUGGGCGAAAGCCUGACGCAGCGACGCCGCGUGGGGGAUGAAGGCC
Molecule: ribosomal RNA, 385 nt
Filed under: uncultured bacterium
Lineage: Bacteria
Description: bacterial SSU rRNA
Rfam family: Bacterial small subunit ribosomal RNA
Source: RNAcentral